GACGAACGCUGGCGGCGUGGAUUAGGCAUGCAAGUCGAACGGUAUCAUCCUUUCGGGGGUGAGAGAGUGGCGAACUGGUGAGUAACACGUAGGUUAUCUACCCUCAAGACGGGGACAACCCAGGGAAACUUGGGCUAAUACCGGAUGUGAGCAACUUUUAGUUGUUUGAAAGGUGGCGUAAGCUGUCGCUUGGGGAUGAGCCUGCGUCCUAUUAGUUAGUUGGUGAGGUAACGGCUCACCUAGGCAAUGAUAGGUAGGCGGCCUUAACGGGUGGUCGCCCACACUGGGAUUGAGAUACGGCCCAGACUCCUACGGGAGGCAGCAGUCGAGAAUAGUCUACAAUGGUCGGAAGACUGAUAGUGCGACGCCGCGUGAACGAUGAAUCCCUUCGGGGUGUAAAGUUCUUUUAUACGUGAGCAGUGCUUCUUAUAUUAACAGUAUGGGGAGAGAGAUAUUAGCAUAUGAAUAAGCAACGGCUAACUCCGUGCCAGCAGCCGCAGU
RNAcentral lists this ribosomal RNA (501 nucleotides) under uncultured bacterium. RNAcentral's name for it is "bacterial SSU rRNA". It matches the Rfam family "Bacterial small subunit ribosomal RNA", at positions 28 to 521 of the family's 1533-position model. The record is from RNAcentral.